UACAGAGGUCCCGAGCGUUGUUCGGAUUCACUGGGCGUAAAGGGUGCGUAGGUGGCCAUGAAAGUUUGAUGUGAAAUCUCCGGGCUUAACCCGGAAACGGCAUUGAAUACUCUGUGGCUUGAGGUCUGGAGGGGGGACUGGAAUUCUCGGUGUAGCAGUGAAAUGCGUAGAGAUCGAGAGGAACACCAGUGGCGAAGGCGGGUCCCUGGACAACACCUGACACUGAGGCACGAAAGCUAGGGGAGCAAACAGG
RNAcentral lists this ribosomal RNA (253 nucleotides) under uncultured bacterium. RNAcentral describes it as "partial 16S ribosomal RNA". It matches the Rfam family "Bacterial small subunit ribosomal RNA", at positions 524 to 776 of the family's 1533-position model. The record is from RNAcentral.